UGAGCAGCCAGCUGACCUUGCCGGCCAGCCUGUGCCCAAAUGACAAGUCCGUUGUCUGCCAAGUGCAGCACCUCUCCAAAGCCAGCAAGACCGUGGACGUGCCCUGCAAAGGUAAAGGUCAGAGGGCAGGAGUGUCUCCCAUCGAACUGCGAGCCCAGCCUGUCCCUGCACCCACCCGCCCUCGAGGAUCUGCUCCUGGGCUCCAACGCCAGCCUCACGUGCACACUGAGUGGCCUGAAAAAAGCCGAGGGUGCCAGCUUCACCUGGAACCCGACAGGUGGGAAGACCGCCGUCCUGGGGUCGCCCAAGCGUGACUCCUGCGGCUGCUACAGCGUGUCCAGCGUCCUGCCGGGCUGUGCCGAUCCCUGGAACAGCGGACAGAGUUUCUCCUGCUCUGCCACCCACCCCGACUCCAAGAGCUCACUGACCGCCAGCAUCAAGAAAAACAUAGGGAACACAUUCCGGCCUCAGGUCCACCUGCUGCCGCCGCCGUCGGAGGAGCUGGCCCUCAACGAGCUGGUGACGCUGACGUGCCUGGUGCGGGGAUUCAACCCCAAGGACGUGCUGGUGCGCUGGCUGCAGGGGAAUCAAGAGCUGCCCCGUGAGAAGUAUGUGACCUGGGACCCCCUGCCUGAGCCUGGCCAGAGCGUCUCCACCUUCACUGUGACCAGCGUGCUACGCGUGGACGCCGAGGUCUGGAAGCAGGGGGACAACUUCUCCUGCAUGGUGGGCCACGAGGCCCUGCCCCUGGCCUUCACCCAGAAGACCAUCGACCGCCUGGCGGGUAAACCCACCCACGUGAACGUGUCCGUGGUCAUGUCAGAGGUGGAUGGCGUCUGCUACUGAGCGGCCCACCCCAGCCCUUGAAUAAACUCCAUGCUCGCCUGAAGCAGCUCUGCA
This is a non-coding RNA of Cervus elaphus (red deer), 900 nucleotides long. NCBI's taxonomy places the organism in Eukaryota, Metazoa, Chordata, Mammalia, Artiodactyla, Cervidae. The record is from the annotation of a RefSeq genome assembly.